RNAcentral lists this ribosomal RNA (425 nucleotides) under uncultured bacterium. Its description in RNAcentral is "partial 16S ribosomal RNA". It matches the Rfam family "Bacterial small subunit ribosomal RNA", at positions 354 to 796 of the family's 1533-position model. The record is from RNAcentral.
GUGGGGAAUAUUGGGCAAUGGGCGAAAGCCUGACCCAGCAACGCCGCGUGAAGGAAGAAGGUCUUCGGAUCGUAAACUUCUAUCCUUGGUGAAGAUAAUGACGGUAGCCGAGAAGGAAGCCCCGGCUAACUACGUGCCAGCAGCCGCGGUAAUACGUAGGGGGCAAGCGUUGUCCGGAAUGAUUGGGCGUAAAGGGCGCGUAGGCGGCCUGGUAAGUCUGGAGUGAAAGUCCUGCUUUUAAGGUGGGAAUUGCUUUGGAUACUGUCGGGGUUGGGUGCAGGGGAGGUAAGUGGAAUUCACGGUGUAGCGGUGAAAUGCGUAGAGAUCGGGAGGAACACCAGUGGCGAAGGCGACUUACUGGACUGUAACUGACGCUGAGGCGCGAAAGUGUGGGGAGCAAACAGGAUUAGAUACCCGGGUAGUCC